GUUAUACUAAAUACACCGAAGUAUCAUUGUUUUUGUACCUACACGACUAAAAAGGGAGUUCGCGUCGGUAUGGAAUAUGGUCAGGCCUACUAGUUUAGGAAGACCUAAGGCCAUCGUAGAACACCCACCUUGUUUUUAAUAGCAGGGUGUCAAAGAGAUGAGCUUCGGUUUUUAUUUAGUAUUUUU
RNAcentral lists this non-coding RNA (186 nucleotides) under Amygdalobacter nucleatus. RNAcentral describes it as "6S RNA". It matches the Rfam family "6S / SsrS RNA". From Rfam's summary of the family: E. coli 6S RNA was the first non coding RNA to be sequenced, but its function was unknown until recently. It consists of 184 nucleotides that fold into an extended hairpin structure with a large single-stranded internal bulge. The record is from RNAcentral. Lineage: Bacteria; Bacillati; Bacillota; Clostridia; Eubacteriales; Oscillospiraceae.